This 33-nucleotide ribosomal RNA is filed under the name Dendrobium nutantiflorum. RNAcentral's name for it is "partial 26S ribosomal RNA". The record is from RNAcentral. Lineage: Eukaryota; Viridiplantae; Streptophyta; Magnoliopsida; Asparagales; Orchidaceae. RNAcentral also lists the same sequence under 4 other names.
GCGACCCCAGGAUGGGCGAGGCCACCCGCUGAG